Arachis ipaensis is the source of this 2127-nucleotide non-coding RNA. NCBI's taxonomy places the organism in Eukaryota, Viridiplantae, Streptophyta, Magnoliopsida, Fabales, Fabaceae. The record is from RefSeq and is a predicted model, not a curated record.
UCUUGCGUCAACUCCCGCUUCCAAAGUUCAGAAACGCAAACUUCCCCAAAUUCAAGCUAGGUAUUCUUUGGUUGACUUCGCUAGGUAUUCUUCAAGUUAGGUAUCCUUUGAUUGACUUCGCUUUCUCUUCCCACCGCCUCCGUCCGACACCACCACCGGCGACCACCAUCGCCUACCCUCUCUUUCUUCCUUCUUCUCUUUCUUCCCCAUUUCUCCAUUUCUUCAUUCCUGCGUGUGACACCCCUGUUCGUGGAGUCACCCUCUGUCCGCGUCUUCAAGCACUGACAAGAAACCACCAGCGGCAGUGACCUUCUGUGCCACCGCGACAUCACCACCACCUCACCGCCUCUCCGUUCUUCUUCCUCCUUUCAUGAAUGCAGCACACUACACUACAACUACUACUUUCGGCAGAACAGAAAAGUACAUAAUAUAAAAGCCUCUUGCUAGCUACUACUUUCAGAAUGCAGAUACCAUCCAAGUUAGUGUUCUCUUUAACAGCUUAGGGCCAUUAUCAGCGUCUGCUGUGCCUGUUGCAGAGUACAUUCCAAGUCAGGAAUCAGGAGUUAGGAUCAAAUUAAUGUCCUAAAUCCUAUAUGUUAGCAUGAUUUUUUUUGGGUAUUUUUUUAACUGAAGUUGAAUUAUUACCUUCAGCCCAGGAUGAAGUCAGGCUCCUUGUUGUGGAUAUUAAACUAGAUGUACUCUGCUAUGCUUCUAAGAAGCUCCCCUUGAGGCAUGCAGUUUCAAGAUUAACCAUCCCUGGUUUAGCUGAUCAGUUAAAUGCAUUGCAGAUUCAAUGUUGCCUAACCUUUUGGGACAACACCCGCAGGUGAGGCAAUGCAUUCAUAUAUUGGUUAAUGGAUUGAUCAAGGAGGCCAUUCAUGUAAUUGGCUAUGGAUAUGAAGAGAAUACUGAAUGGGGAAAAGAGAUUGGUUGGAUUUAUAGAUCAGUGAUAGAGGAUAUCUUAACUGGAUUCAAGAUGCACUGUAGAGGAUGGAGAUCAAUUUAGUGCAUGCCAUUAAGGCCAGCAUUCAAAGGGUCAUUAUCAUUCCAACGGUAGUUUCUUGUUGCUUAUUGUUCCUUGCCAGCAAUUUGCCUUCUCUCUGGAAAGUUCAUCAUUCCAACGGGAUGGGGUUGUGCUUAUCGCUCUCUCCAGACUAUCAUUUCAUGGUUCAGACUCCAAAACUACUCAUCUAUAGAGGUUUCUUCUCAUAGAUUUACAGCCAAUCUUAUCAAUGGUUUCCAUACUUCAGAAGGCGCAGAGCUAGCUAAGAAGCAAGUAUCAAAGCUGGGAAGAUUUUCUCCAUUAGCUUCUUAUGGAGUUUCUUCCAAUGGUUUUUCACUGCUGGUGAUGAUUGCGGAUUUUCAAGCUUCCCUACAGUUGGUCUACAGGCCUAUAAGAACAAGUUCUACUUUGAUUUUUCCGCUACUUAUGUUGGGAUUGGGAUGAUUUGCCCAUAUAUAAUCAAUGUAUCCCUGCUGAUUGGUGGAAUUCUCUCAUGGGGUGUCAUGUGGCCACUCAUUGCUAAUAAAAAAGGUGAUUGGUAUGAUGCAAAACUUAAGCCAAGCAGCUUAGAGGGCCUUCAAGGUUACAAGGCAAGUCAUCCUUUACCAUUCAAUUUUCACUAUGUUCCGUAUUUUGUAACAUUAACCUUUAGGUUAAUUAAAUGCUAAUUGAUUAAACGUUAACCUUUGGUUUUUCUGUUCUAACUGGACAACAUAUGCUGAGCCCUAGGCAAAGAAGGCUGAAAAAGAUCGUUAAUGGUGUAUGGUGUGGGUGGAAGAAAGCUGUUGAUAGCAAGGGAAAGAAUUUCUUCUUGCAUGAUAAGUUUUAUAAUCUCCUUCUACUACAAAGACCUAACAUGGUUUGAUAGGAUCAUUUUCAUGGAGGGUAACAGUUCUUAGUUUGUACCAAUUUUCUUGCAAUGGAACGGUAGUUUUUCAUGGUUAGAAUUUGAUAAUUCAGUUAAUUAGUUGACUUACUUUUGGGUUGGUGUUUGUAACUGGCAUUGUGUGACUGUAGUCUAUUAUACAGGAUUUACCGCUGUUAUCUAUUUGAGUUACUUGGACAAGUAAAUGAUGCCAGCAAAGGGUAUUCCAAGAUAAUUAAAGUAUUAUUUUAUCAUUUUA